CCUACGGGUGGCUGCAGUGGGGAAUAUUGGACAAUGGGGGCAACCCUGAUCCAGCCAUGCCGCGUGUGUGAAGAAGGCCCUCGGGUUGUAAAGCACUUUCAGUGAGGAAGAACGCCUGGUGGUUAAUACCCAUCAGGAAAGACAUCACUCACAGAAGAAGCACCGGCUAACUCCGUGCCAGCAGCCGCGGUAAUACGGAGGGUGCGAGCGUUAAUCGGAAUUACUGGGCGUAAAGCGCGCGUAGGUGGCUUGAUAAGCCGGUUGUGAAAGCCCCGGGCUCAACCUGGGAACGGCAUCCGGAACUGUCAAGCUAGAGUGCAGGAGAGGAAGGUAGAAUUCCCGGUGUAGCGGUGAAAUGCGUAGAGAUCGGGAGGAACACCAGUGGCGAAGGCGGCCUUCUGGACUGACACUGACACUGAGGUGCGAAAGCGUGGGUAGCAAACAGGAUUAGAUACCCGGGUAGUC
This 465-nucleotide ribosomal RNA is filed under the name Vreelandella stevensii. RNAcentral's name for it is "partial 16S ribosomal RNA". It matches the Rfam family "Bacterial small subunit ribosomal RNA", at positions 338 to 795 of the family's 1533-position model. The record is from RNAcentral. Lineage: Bacteria; Pseudomonadati; Pseudomonadota; Gammaproteobacteria; Oceanospirillales; Halomonadaceae.